This is a non-coding RNA of Cinara cedri, 3147 nucleotides long. Lineage: Eukaryota; Metazoa; Arthropoda; Insecta; Hemiptera; Aphididae. The record is from the annotation of a GenBank genome assembly.
UAUAACUUAUAAUAUUAAAUAUACUCUGAUUAUUAUGCAUUUUCGGAAACAAACUCGACUGUAAUAUGAUGCUAUACUAUAGCAUUUCUGCUGUGAUUGCAUUUCCCGAAAGAUUAGCUUUCAAUUAGAUUUCCAACAAAUUAAUUUAAUUUAUUAUUUCAUGACCAUUAGAAUUCCUAUAUUUUAUUUUUUCUCCGUUACCCCUAACUAUAUUCAGUAGUUUUUAAUAUUCCGCCCGGUUAGUUUUCUCUAAAUUUAUUUUCAACGACAUUAGAUUGCAUACCUAAUCUUGUGCAUUUAUUUACCAACGAAUUAUUAUGGGCUGCGUGCGCACAAAUUCAUUUUUCGAAAAAAAGGAUUGAAAAUCAGCUCUCGAAUUCUCUCAUAUUCUUUUUAAUGAUAAUUCCGUUUGAGGUACUACUACACGCGCGACCGAAGAAGAAAAAUAAUCUAUAAUAAUAAUAAUAUUAUAUUAUUUUUACACUCGUGAAAGAUACAAAUCAUUUUUUUGUUUUCUAUACUACUGCUCAACGGUGCACACAAAUAAUAAUAUUAUGCAGCUGUUUCGGCAAUAUACUCGCGGCGUAUAAUUAUAUGUAUUUUACAUAUAAUAUAUAAUACGUGUUCCUAUAAUCAUAUUAUUAUUGUACGAUAUUAUUAUUUUAUAUUGUAAUGUAAUAACAUUCAGAUCUGAAACGGCUGAAUUUAUAACUAUUUAUAAUAUUUUACCGUUAUCCGGAUUAGGUCGACUAGAAUAAUACAAUAUUAUUACAUUUUAGAUUGUUAUUAUUAUUAUUAUUAUAAUUAUUGUGUCUGUAUUGUGAUUGUCAAUGCGACUUGACUCGUCGCGUAUAUUUUUUUUUAACCGCCUAAUCCGAGGCGUUAUUUUGUUUUAUUGUAUUUUUAAACAACCACAAAUAGUGUAGGUGGUACUUACGCCAGACGGGAUAUCAGGUGGUGUGGGUGUUUAGGACGCGGGGGAUGGAGGGGGGGGUGAUCGUCCCCGGAAAGCCGGUAUAACGGCGAAGGAGGAGCGGGGGUAGAAGAAAAAAAAGAGAUAUUUAAAAUGAUAAAUCGGUAAUGCGCGUUUAUGUUUUUUUUUUCGAAUGCGCGUUAAAAUGUUCUUCGAUCGGUUGGGGUAUCCGCGGAAAAUUAAAAACCGAGCAUUCGCACGCAUAUAGCGGUUAAGACGAUUUUCCUUCUGCGGCACCGGUCCGCAUAUUGCGUGGCGUGAAACGGAUAACGUGCUGAAUACAGAUUAGCUAUAUUUUAUUAUACAUAGGUACUGUAGAAUCGCGCGAUUCGCGAAUCGUUUAGUUUUUUUUUUUUAAAACUAUCAUUCAUAACUAUUUACUGAAAUGAAAACCAAAUUGAAACGUCUCUUUAAAAAAUUAGGCGUAGUAAAAAAUUUUCUUCGCUAUUAUUCUAUCACUUCCUUUCCGCCGCCGUUAAAUCGACGUGAGCGGAUAUAGAAACUCGCAUACAAUCUCUGCAGCUCCGCGUACGACCCGAUCCCGGUAUUGAUUGAAAACUAGAACGAUACUUGAUGUGAUUUUUUUUUAAAAUAAUAAAACGAGUAAUAUUAUCUGGGCCUUAAUUUUAUUUUGAUGUCGGGCGAUUAACGACAAUCCGUAAAAUUGAUUGUAUCAAUGAAAUAUAUCGUGUUUUAAUCAACCGAGAAUAACGCGAUCAUUUUUUUUUUAAACGUAAAACGCGUACUCGUCACACAAACAGUUUAAAUAAAUAAUCGCAAUAAAAAUCAAUCAAGAAAAUGACUGGGUAAGGAUCUCCCUUAACACCACUGAUACCACUGGCGUACAAUCGGCCGGUCUUAAUAAUAUACGUACCAAGUCAAGUCGCAUUAACACGCGGUAAAUUAUUACAAUAUUAGAUUUUUAACUAAGUUUCGAACUGUCCACGUAUUUAUCCGUUUCUGUAUUAGACACCUCUGUAUUAUCAUACCCUCAGUGGCGUGCGCAAGUGAGCGGAGGUUAGGGACUAUAUUCCUCCUCCUCCUCCUCCUCCCCCUCAUUGGCUUAAAAAUACAUAACUAUAAGAGUAUUUGUUUAGUGUUUAUUAUCUUAAAAAAUCUUGUGAAAUUACAAGGAAAAAAUAAUAAUUGUUGAAUACGGUUUUACGGAUCCGGGUUUUAAAUUAUCGUUGUCUGGCACCUGUUUAGUGUCCCUUAACGACACAAAUUUCCGGACACGCCACUGUGUAAAAAUAACAAAACAACGUUAUUUUGUCCCCCCCCUUCGAAAUCUGUAUGUAUUUUGGAAAAGAAACAAUUUUAUUACCUAGGUAUAUUAUGUUUUCUAAAUACAAUAGAUUGCUUCUCCUUCUCCUCCCCGGUAGAAAAAAAAAAUACAAAAUGAAAAAAACACACGACAUUAGGCGUCGUAAAAAAUCAACAAAUCGUUACCUCAAAAAAAAAAAAAAAAAAAAAACCAAAAAAAAACCGGGGAAAAAAUUGCGCGUAUUUACCAAUGAUUUUAUUUUAUUAUUUUAUUUUAUUUUAUUUUAUUAUUUUUGUUUAAUCGUAACCGAAUAUCAAAGUACUAUUUUUUUAAGUUUUACCUUUUGUGACUCACCUACUAUAUUACCUAUUAUCUAUUAGUUGUAUAAUAUUAUUAUUAACUGAAAAAAAAAAAAAAAAAAAAAAAAAUGUAUAAUCAUUUGUUAUAGUUCGAAUACGGAUUAAUCAUUAUCGAUUUUAUUAUUAUUUAUUAUUCGGCGGGAUAUUGUGUAAUAAUGUAUACAUCGUUCGUUUCCUUGUCUAUGUUAUAAUAAUAAUAAUAAUAAUAAUAAUUUUUAAAUAAGACCCGUGCCUAUAUACAUUUUAUAUUAUAUAAUAUACACGCAGGUUCUGGGUCGUAAAAAAAAAAAAAAAAAAAAAAAUCACGCAGAAUUACGUUAUUAAAUUAAAUCAUUGUUUGUAUAAAAUUAAUAAUUUAUAAGACAUCGAGGGGACUAUAUAAAUAUGAAUUACAAUUGUAUGUUUUUUUUUGUUUUUUAAUGUACAAUGUAUUUUUUUUUUUUUUAUUAUAAAAAAGAAAAACCUACACGUGUAAGAUUUAAUAAUAAUAAUAUGUAGACGUAUUAUCAUAUAUUAUAUUAUACAAAGUAUUAGAUUAGUAAAAUAUAUAU